UGUUUCCACAGACCUUGACGGUACCGAUUGAAUAAGGACCGGCCAACUCCGUGCCAGCAGCCGCGGUAAUACGGAGGGUCCAAGCGUUAUCCGGAUUCACUGGGUUUAAAGGGUGCGCAGGCGGCUAAGUAAGUCAGUGGUGAAAGCCUUCGGCUCAACCGGAGAAUUGCCAUUGAAACUACUUGGCUUGAGUGCAGCAGAGGUAGGCGGAAUGUAGCAUGUAGCGGUGAAAUGCAUAGAUAUGCUACAGAACACCGAUAGCGAAAGCAGCUUACCACACUGUAACUGACGGUGAGGCACGAAAGCAUGGGUAGCAAACAGGAUUAGAUACCCGGGUAGUCCAUGCCGUAAACUAGAACACUCGGAGUUUGCCACCUAGUGGUAAGCUCCCUAGCGAAAGCGUAAG
This 406-nucleotide ribosomal RNA is filed under the name uncultured Bacteroidota bacterium. RNAcentral's name for it is "bacterial SSU rRNA". It matches the Rfam family "Bacterial small subunit ribosomal RNA", at positions 455 to 864 of the family's 1533-position model. Lineage: Bacteria; Pseudomonadati; Bacteroidota. The record is from RNAcentral.